Salvia splendens (bonfire salvia) is the source of this 106-nucleotide small nuclear RNA. The record is from RefSeq and is a predicted model, not a curated record. NCBI's taxonomy places the organism in Eukaryota, Viridiplantae, Streptophyta, Magnoliopsida, Lamiales, Lamiaceae.
CUUGCGUAGAUAUUAGAGAAGAUAUAUUGGAACGAUAUAGAGAAGAUUAAUAGCAUGUCUCAUGCACAAGAUGACAUGUAUAAAUAGGGAAAUAUACAAUUAUUAG